This is a non-coding RNA of Physeter macrocephalus (sperm whale), 74 nucleotides long. Lineage: Eukaryota; Metazoa; Chordata; Mammalia; Artiodactyla; Physeteridae. The record is from the annotation of a RefSeq genome assembly.
UCCCUGGUGGUCCAGUGGUUAGGACUCUGCAUUUCUACUUCAGGGGGCCACGGGUUCGAUCCCCGGUCAGGGAA